CUGCUGAGAAUUUGAUAGAAAGGAUCGAGGAUCUUCUUGUUAAACCAAUCAUUCAUCGUCGACACCGCCAUUUCCUCUCUUCUCUUAACACGAAAAGGAAUCCAAUUCCACCGCUUCUUUCAACUCGAAUUUCAAUAAAAAAUGUCGAAAACGAAUCGAUUUAGGAAUCCUCAAAUAGACAAAUCCAUUUAUUAUUUUUUCGUAUUUAAUUCGUCUUCCUCACACUCCCAGACACGAUCAGAGAUUCCUUCCUUGGAUUCACAAAACUCACCGAAAAAAUAAUUAAAUUGUUUUUCU
This 297-nucleotide unclassified non-coding RNA is filed under the name Hevea brasiliensis (rubber tree). The record is from RNAcentral. Lineage: Eukaryota; Viridiplantae; Streptophyta; Magnoliopsida; Malpighiales; Euphorbiaceae.